Molecule: non-coding RNA, 27 nt
Filed under: Bombyx mori (domestic silkworm)
Lineage: Eukaryota; Metazoa; Arthropoda; Insecta; Lepidoptera; Bombycidae
Source: RNAcentral
UAAGAUAUAAAGAUGGUGUUUUCAUAC